RNAcentral lists this long non-coding RNA (350 nucleotides) under Rattus norvegicus (Norway rat). RNAcentral describes it as "long non-coding RNA NONRATT018543". The record is from RNAcentral. Lineage: Eukaryota; Metazoa; Chordata; Mammalia; Rodentia; Muridae.
AUCGAAUUACACCAUUUGCCGAGCAGCGGUUUGUUUUGCUGGCGCUGGGUCCCGCCGCCGCCGCCGCCGCCGCCGCCCCCGCCGCCUUGGCUAGAGCGGACCAGUUUCAGGAUAGAUCGCAAGGCGCGACCCGAGACCGUGGGAUUGCUCUUUCUGCACACCGUCUUGAUCGGCUUUUCCAUCUGAUCCUGACAAGCUUUAUUUGUCUGUUUUUUAAAGCAGGCUUCCCUAUGAGAGGAAGCUAAGUGGGACUUCUGAGGAGGGAGCUCAGAUACCUUCUCGGCCAACCAUGAGGUUCUUUCUGCUGUGGUUCUGUGUGCUGUUCCUUCUGGUCUCCAGGUUACGGGCCG